GCAUUAUACGGCGAACUGCGAAUGGCUCAUUAUAUAAGUUAUCGUUUAUUUGAUAGUACCUUACUACUUGGAUAACCGUGGUAAUUCUAGAGCUAAUACAUGCUAAAAAUCCCGACUUCGGAAGGGAUGUAUUUAUUAGAUUAAAAACCAAUGCCCUCUGGGCUCCUUGGUGAUUCAUGAUAACUCUUCGAAUCGCACGGCCUUGCGCCGGCGAUGGUUCAUUCAAAUUUCUUCCCUAUCAACUUUCGAUGUUUGGGUAUUGGCCAAACAUGGUUGCAACGGGUAACGGAGGGUUAGGGCUCGACCCCGGAGAAGGAGCCUGAGAAACGGCUACUACAUCCAAGGAAGGCAGCAGGCGCGCAAAUUACCCAAUCCCGAUUCGGGGAGGUAGUGACAAUAAAUACUGAUACAGGGCUCUUUUGGGUCUUGUAAUUGGAAUGAGUACAAUUUAAAUCUCUUAACGAGGAACAAUUGGAGGGCAAGUCUGGUGCCAGCAGCCGCGGUAAUUCCAGCUCCAAUAGCGUAUAUUAAAGUUGUUGUGGUUAAAAAGCUCGUAGUUGAACCUUGGGCCUGGCUGGCCGGUCCGCCUCACCGCGUGCACUGGUCCGGCCGGGCCUUUCCCUCUGUGGAACCCCAUGCCCUUCACUGGGCGUGGCGGGGAAACAGGACGUUUACUUUGAAAAAAUUAGAGUGCUCCAGGCAGGCCUAUGCUCGAAUACAUUAGCAUGGAAUAAUGAAAUAGGACGCGUGGUUCUAUUUUGUUGGUUUCUAGGACCGCCGUAAUGAUUAAUAGGGACAGUCGGGGGCAUCAGUAUUCAAUUGUCAGAGGUGAAAUUCUUGGAUUUAUUGAAGACUAACUACUGCGAAAGCAUUUGCCAAGGAUGUUUUCAUUAAUCAGGAACGAAAGUUAGGGGAUCGAAGACGAUCAGAUACCGUCGUAGUCUUAACCAUAAACUAUGCCGACUAGGGAUCGGACGAUGUUAUUUUUUGACGCGUUCGGCACCUUACGAGAAAUCAAAGUGCUUGGGCU
Molecule: ribosomal RNA, 1030 nt
Filed under: Cordyceps cicadae
Lineage: Eukaryota; Fungi; Ascomycota; Sordariomycetes; Hypocreales; Cordycipitaceae
Description: SSU rRNA
Rfam family: Eukaryotic small subunit ribosomal RNA
Source: RNAcentral